Long non-coding RNA from Rosa chinensis, 928 nucleotides. RefSeq lists it as uncharacterized. The transcript has 6 exons. NCBI's taxonomy places the organism in Eukaryota, Viridiplantae, Streptophyta, Magnoliopsida, Rosales, Rosaceae. The record is from RefSeq and is a predicted model, not a curated record.
ACUUUGUCAAAUUUCCCACGACUCAUAUUGACUAACCACUGCAAUUUUCAUUCCCAAACCUAACCAUCACGACACCCGUCCAGCAAUCGACCUCCUCUUCCUCCUUCUCCGCCUCCGACCACUCUCCUCCUCCUUCUCCGCCUCCUUCUCUCCAGUCCAGUCGAAGCGCGGAGCUGCGUUCACCGUUCUCCGUUCUCUCUCCGUGGGCUUCCCCCUCUCAGCCCUUCUCUUCGACCGUCGAGGCGUCGACGACCUUCGCUCUCCUCCAUUGUAAGUGGACGAACAGCCUCAAACUCGAUCUUGGUUGCUCGCAACAAAUACUAAAAUGAAAUCGAUUUCAUGGUUUUAAUGAUUAUUUGAUAGAAAGAAGUUGAAUUUAUAUUAAAGAAUAAUACUUUAGGUUCCUGUAUUGUUCUUUUGGAUUCAGGAAUGUGAUGUCCUCAUCCCUUCUGCUUUGGGUGGAGUUCUUAAUAGGGAUAAUAUUUCAUCAGUGAGAAGCUGAAAACUUUCUGGGUUCGAUUUCUGAUUCUUCAAAGUCCGUGUCUUGGCAUGCUAGUUGCUGCAACUUCUGGAACUAGAUUUGUUCUUGGAAGUGGCAGUGCCGUCGAUUUUGCUGGACUUUGUUGGAUAUGUGUUGGUACCAUGAUGUUUGCAGCAUCUGCUAAAUCUUUAAAUCAGGUGUUCGAGAAGUAUAAUGAUGCCAAACUGAAGAGAACGAUGCAAAGACCCCUACCUUCAGGACAUAUUACUAGGCCUCAUGCAAUUGCCUAGGCAUUUACUGCUGGCUUAGCUGGCACUGCUUUGUUGGCAAGUUGUUGCAGGCUAAUAUGCUGGCAGCUGGUCUUGAUGCUUCCAAUUUAAUACUUUAUGCAUUUCUGUAUACUCCAUUAAAGCAAAUUCACCCAGUAAAUACAUGGGUUGGCGCUAU